CAAAUUAGAGCUUGAUAAAGUAUUUCAUUUACAUUGAAAAGAUAUUAUUUUUUAAUUAAUUUGA
RNAcentral lists this transfer RNA (64 nucleotides) under Drepana pallida. Its description in RNAcentral is "tRNA-Val". Lineage: Eukaryota; Metazoa; Arthropoda; Insecta; Lepidoptera; Drepanidae. The record is from RNAcentral.